AGUGAACGCUGGCGGUAGGCCUAACACAUGCAAGUCGAACGGCAGCACAGUAAGAGCUUGCUCUUACGGGUGGCGAGUGGCGGACGGGUGAGGAAUACAUCGGAAUCUACUUUUUCGUGGGGGAUAACGUAGGGAAACUUACGCUAAUACCGCAUACGACCUACGGGUGAAAGCAGGGGAUCUUCGGACCUUGCGCGAUUGAAUGAGCCGAUGUCGGAUUAGCUAGUUGGCGGGGUAAAGGCCCACCAAGGCGACGAUCCGUAGCUGGUCUGAGAGGAUGAUCGGCCACACUGGAACUGAGACACUGUCCAGACUCCUACGGGAGGCAGCAGUGGGGAAUAUUGGACAAUGGGCGCAAGCCUGAUCCAGCCAUACCGCGUGGGUGAAGAAGGCCUUCGGGUUGUAAAGCCCUUUUGUUGGGAAAGAAAAGCAGCAGGUUAAUACCCCGCUGUUCUGACGGUACCCAAAGAAUAAGCACCGGCUAACUUCGUG
This 492-nucleotide ribosomal RNA is filed under the name uncultured bacterium. Its description in RNAcentral is "partial 16S ribosomal RNA". It matches the Rfam family "Bacterial small subunit ribosomal RNA", at positions 29 to 507 of the family's 1533-position model. The record is from RNAcentral.